UGCGCUACCUCGGGGUGCCGCGCGAUCCGCGCCGGCUGAGAUGCGACACACGCGAACCCGUUGAACCUGACCCGGUUAACACCGGCGGAGGGAAGGUCACGGCCCAAGGC
Molecule: non-coding RNA, 110 nt
Filed under: Salipiger sp. CCB-MM3
Lineage: Bacteria; Pseudomonadati; Pseudomonadota; Alphaproteobacteria; Rhodobacterales; Roseobacteraceae
Also listed under: 1 other name
Description: Yangia sp. CCB-MM3 TPP riboswitch aptamer (THI element)
Rfam family: TPP riboswitch aptamer (THI element)
About the family: Vitamin B(1) in its active form thiamin pyrophosphate (TPP) is an essential coenzyme that is synthesised by coupling of pyrimidine and thiazole moieties in bacteria. The previously detected thiamin-regulatory element, thi box was extended, resulting in a new, highly conserved RNA secondary structure, the THI element, which is widely distributed in eubacteria and also occurs in some archaea.
Source: Rfam by way of RNAcentral